Long non-coding RNA from Lepidothrix coronata (blue-crowned manakin), 1322 nucleotides. RefSeq lists it as uncharacterized. The record is from RefSeq and is a predicted model, not a curated record. The transcript is spliced from 4 exons. NCBI's taxonomy places the organism in Eukaryota, Metazoa, Chordata, Aves, Passeriformes, Pipridae.
AAGUAUUCCAUGCUAUUCCUUUAUGUAACCUGGGAUAUAAAAAGGUGCAGAUAAGAGAGUUUGCUUUCUUCUCUCUUCCGGUGGCUGAAGGUGACAGGUCUCUUCGCAGAUGGUUUUUGCUUGUAUAGGCCAAGGCCUGCCUGCUCUGACCUGCCGUUAUCUCCAGUCUCUCUGGGAGGGUGGGGAAAGUCGGCUGCUGCCUUGCACAGCUCUGCUGUCCCGCUCAGGGAUGUAUUUAAUUCAUGUUUAUAUUUAUUCACUAGCUCUCUAUUAACAGGCCUUGUUGUCAAGUCUUGGUGGGAAGCCGGCUCAAAACUUGCACAUGUCUUUCUUGUACUAAGAUCUUCUUGGGUGCUGAGAGAGAACUGGAAGAAGUGGGAGCUCAGCCCACACAAAAGCUCUGGCUGAAGAUGACGUUGCUGUAGCAGACUGUCUUUUGGCUGUUCUUGUGGGUUCGUUUUCUACCAAUGGGAGGUGGAGAGGAAAAAAGGGGAUUAGAAGGUCAGGACACAAAAAACAGAGAAGAUGCUGCACGGAAAUUUCUUGUACAUGAGAUCUGUGGUGUCUUGGUAACCUCCCUCGCACAUUCUAGAAGUGGGCAGGUGUGAUGGACUGAAAUGUCAGUAGUGUCUUCAACAUUGUCAAAAUCAUAGAAAGACUUUUUGUCAAACUGCAAGGAAGCACAGUCUGUCUGUGACCAUCGAAGCACCCCCCUCCUCCCAGUGCCUCUCGAGUGGAAUUUAGACUGUGACUGGGGACUUGAGAUAAGACUAUUGUCUAAUCAUCUCAGGUCUGAGGAGGAGUAAACAAGGCUCAGGAAUGAAGAAUGUAUCUGUGUUAAGAACCAGCCCUAGCUGGGCUCAGGAGGUGGUGGAGGAGAAGGGUUUCGGGUGUGUGAUGGUGAAAUCUCUCCACACCAAACCAAAGGAGUAACUCUCUACCCACCCCCCCAUCCCCCAAGAAGACCAUGUGCACACAGGACAUUCACAUGAGAGGCAGCUGAGAAGGGGUCACAAACCACCAAAGACUCCCGAAGCGUCCCCCUAAUUCAUUCCUGAGGCCUUCCACCACCAGAAGACUGCACAUAAUCUGAGUGAAGCAACAAAUCUGCUGCAAGAGACUGCAAAGUUUCCACCACCACCCACCCUGCCAAGGGGUGUUGCCAGGCAUCUCCUGAACGUAUAUUAAUCUAUUACUCUAUGUUUUUUGGGAAACCCUAACCACCAAAAAGAUCAGAAGAACUGGACUGUCGGGAUGCUGCCGGGUUACACGGAGUGGUGGUACUUUUCUAUUUUACUCUCUCUAUCACUUUCUUUCUUCUA